Molecule: ribosomal RNA, 250 nt
Filed under: uncultured prokaryote
Description: partial 16S ribosomal RNA
Rfam family: Bacterial small subunit ribosomal RNA
Source: RNAcentral
UACGAAGGUGGCGAGCGUUACUCGGAAUUACUAGGCGUAAAGCGUAUGUAGGUGGUUAUAUAAGUCUAUGGUGAAAUUUCCUGGCUCAACUGGGAAGGGUACAUAGAUACUGUAUGGCUUGAGUUUUAGAGGGGGAGACGGAAUUCCUGGUGUAGCGGUGAAAUGCGUAGAUAUCAGGAAGAACACCGAUGGCGAAAGCAGUCUCCUGGCUAAAUACUGACACUGAGGUACGAAAGCUAGGGUAGCAAAC